This 259-nucleotide ribosomal RNA is filed under the name uncultured bacterium. RNAcentral's name for it is "partial 16S ribosomal RNA". It matches the Rfam family "Bacterial small subunit ribosomal RNA", at positions 94 to 354 of the family's 1533-position model. The record is from RNAcentral.
AGUGGCGGACGGGUGAGUAACGCGUGGGUAACCUGCCCCAUACAGGGGGAUAACAGCCGGAAACGGCUGCUAAUACCGCAUGCACAUGCGGGGGCGCAUGCUCCUGAAUGGAAAGCUUUUGCGGUAUGGGAUGGGCCCGCGUCUGAUUGGGCAGUUGGCGGGGUAAAGCCCACCAAACCGACGAUCAGUAGCCGGCCUGAGAGGGUGGCCGGCCACAUUGGGACUGAGACACGGCCCAAACUCCUACGGAAGGCAGCAG